This 521-nucleotide ribosomal RNA is filed under the name uncultured bacterium. Its description in RNAcentral is "bacterial SSU rRNA". It matches the Rfam family "Bacterial small subunit ribosomal RNA", at positions 988 to 1509 of the family's 1533-position model. The record is from RNAcentral.
CCAGAGAACUUGGCAGAGAUGCCUUGGUGCCUUCGGGACCUCUGAGACAGGUGCUGCAUGGCUGUCGUCAGCUCGUGUUGUGAAAUGUUGGGUUAAGUCCCGCAACGAGCGCAGCCCCUAUCCUUUGUUGCCAGCGAUUCGGUCGGGAACUCAAAGGAGACUGCCGGUGAUAAACCGGAGGAAGGUGGGGAUGACGUCAAGUCAUCAUGGCCCUUACGAGUAGGGCUACACACGUGCUACAAUGGCGCAUACAAAGAGAAGCGACCUCGCGAGAGCAAGCGGACCUCAUAAAGUGCGUCGUAGUCCGGAUCGGAGUCUGCAACUCGACUCCGUGAAGUCGGAAUCACUAGUAAUCGUAGAUCAGAAUGCUACGGUGAAUACGUUCCCGGGCCUUGUACACACCGCCCGUCACACCAUGGGAGUGGGUUGCAAAAGAAGUAGAUAGCUUAACCUUCGGGAGGGCGUUUACCACUUUGUGAUUCAUGACUGGGGUGAAGUCGUAACAAGGUAAGCGUAGCGAG